GAUGAAGAACGUAGUGAAAUGCGAUACUUGGUGUGAAUUGCAGAAUCCCGUGAACCAUCGAGUCUUUGAACGCAAGUUGCGCCUCAAGCCGUUAGGUUGAGGGCACGUCUGCCUGGGCGUCACAUAUCGUUGCCUGAUGCCAGUUUCCUCGUGAUGGGUGACUGUGCAGGGCGAAUGAUGGCUUCCCGUGAGCAUUGUUGCCUCAUGGUUGGUUGAAAAUUGAGUCCUUGGUAGGGAGCGCCGUGAUAGAUGGUGGUUGAGUGACGAACGAGACCCAAUCAUGUGAGACCCCUACCGAAUUUGGCCUUCAUGACCCACAUGCGUCUUUGGAACGCUCAUGACGAGACCUCAGGUCAGGCGGGGCUACCCGCUGAGUUUAAGCAUAUCAAUAAGCGGAGGA
This 400-nucleotide unclassified non-coding RNA is filed under the name soil metagenome. RNAcentral describes it as "partial contains 5.8S ribosomal RNA, internal transcribed spacer 2, and large subunit ribosomal RNA". The stretch from base 1 to 122 matches the Rfam family "5.8S ribosomal RNA", at positions 35 to 154 of the family's 154-position model. The record is from RNAcentral.